GCUCCUCAGGGGCCUUAGCCAGGCCCUGCCCUUGCCAGAGUUGCCUCUCUUCCGCCACAGAGCUUUUCCCUCAUCCUGCACGUGGACCUGGCUGGGGGCAGCUUCGUGGCCCAGAGGUGCCUGCCAAGCCUGUGAACUUCCGGGCGGGAACUUAUUUGGCCCCUUCAAGUACUGGAAGGCUGCAAAAGUGUCUCUCUGGAGCCUUCUCCAGGCUGAACAACCACAGCUGUCUCAGCCUGUCUUCACUGGCAAGCCAACCCUUCCCUCUGAUCAUUUUUGUGGCCUUCUCUGGACCUCAUCCAUCAGGUCCAUGCCUUUCCUGUACUGACACUCCAGGGCUGGAGGCAACACUCCAGGCGGGGUCUCUCCAAUACAGGGAGAGAAUCAUCUCCCUUGACCUGCUGGCUGUGCUGCUUUGGAUACAAUUGGCCAUUAGAAGGAAAAGGCAGCAGGGUAGACUCAGACCCACUGAGAGCAUCUGUCCCUGUGCUCUGGGUCAGUCCUUGGCUGUAGCUGAGCUUGGCAGAGGUGGUGCCUGCUCCCUGUCUCUGCUGGACACCUCCUGUGUGGGUCUAGCAGGGUGUCUGCCCUACAACACAAACACACCUGCCCUCAAGACCUUCAACCUUUUUUUUUUUUUUUCCUUUUGGAUACCUUUGUGUCUCCUCUUGGACAGAGGUCCCACCCUCACUGGCUGUCGUUGGUGCUGGGUGCAGUUUUGGUUGGUGUCUCUGUUUGAAGGCUGGCCUAGGAUGGGUCACACUGCUGACAAGACUCUGCCCUGCAGGUGCUCCAGGCUGGGAUCCAUCAGUGAGGUCUGGUGAGAAAGUUGUUGUUGUGGCUAAUGGGGAUUAAUGGUCCAGCUUCAAACCCCCUAAACAAUGUUUACUCUGUAUCCCUCCCACACACAGUGGCUGAAUCCAGGAUGUGAAAUGAUGCCUUUAAUGUCCCUGUGGCUCUCAGGAUCUCAAGCCCAGCAACAGGACAGACUGACCAAGGCACUGAGUGACUGCACAGCUGCCUGUGAUGUUCAGGAGCAGCAGCUGGAGAUGUCCCUUCCCACAAUGUCCACGUGCUAGAGCUGAUUACAAACUGCAGGGAAAAGUGGCAGCAGGGCUGGAGAAAUCUGUCACAGAAGAAGUGCUGCUGUGUGUCACUGAACACACCUGGGGAGUGUUGGUGUCAGCAACUGCAGCCCCGGUGAGCUCCAGGGAGCCCAGCCCAGCACGGGAGUGAUGCUGGUGGGCUCAGGGGAACGUGGGUUUUCCAGAGGGGCUUGAGUUCCCCAGGCACUUGGAAAAGCACAGUGGUGUGCAGUGCUGCUCGAGAAAGCAGUGACAAGGGGACAACCAGCCCCAAGGGAUUAACAGACAGAGGGGAGGCCAAGGAGAAGCCUUGGCUAGAGAAGUCAGGACACCUUUCUGAUGUAGACACUUGGAGGAAGAGCACAGAGAGGGGGGCUGUGGAAGGGGCAGAGCAGGGGAAAGCCCUGUUCUGCUGCUGGCUUGAGCAAUGAGAGUUUGUGCCUGCUGAAGUACAUUUUUGUAACAGAAAGGAAAACACACAAAGCUGACAUUUUUUCCCUUCUUUGGACGGUAGGAAUGUUUUAAUUGAGAAAUUUGUUUUAAUUACAUUAGGUGAUAUCACAGUCUAUUUUACAAGUUUGGGGUAAGAGGAUGUGUGGACCAGUUACACAGAAAUCCAGCGAAAGGAUAAAAAUCUACAACAUGAGAAAAAUGAAAAGGUUAACUUAACCCCAAAAUAAAAGCAUUGAGAGUUCGGUGUGAGUGGAAAUGGGAGAUUAUACCAGGGUCCAGAGAAGUAGAAAGGAUGAGACUAACAUAAAUUUACAGUAUUGGUUCUGCACGACCAUCGCUUGCCUGUGUUCAGAGACAGCCUCUCUUCCUGAGGGCAUCGCUAAGCAGAUGGCCCCGUCUCUGAGGAUUUGGUCUGGUCUUGUCAGAGAAGAAAGCAAAAGAACUGAUGGGCAAAGGUCACAACCCACGCUGAGCUGGUCCCCAGGGUCACUGCCUACAGGAGUGUCUUCCACUGGAUAGUCGGGGGGGUUCUGCACCAAGAACUGUAUGGAGGAAAACUAAAACAGCUCCAAAAAGCCCCAUCUCAAACGUAGAAAAGUCUCACUCUGGAAGUGCUUACGAGAAGAUCGUCAUCAUAGAAUUUGGUUUCUAUAAUAACAUUACCACUGCGGGAGGAAGGAGGAGAGAGAAGAGGUGUUAGAAGGGUGCAUGGACAGUGACUGCUCCUCUCCACGCUCUCACAAGCCUGGGCUCACACCCUGACCACCCCACAACCUCUUCUCUGAGCACUGUCCUGGUCAGGGUCAGUCAGGACUCCAAACAGAUUCCUGUGUGCAAUGUUCCCCCAUCCCUCCCCUGUCUGAGCAUGGUACUGCUCAGGCUGCAGAGUGCUCGGACAGCAAACUCCUGCUCACUCCUACUGCUAAAAAUAAACCAGCAGUCCCAGCACCUUUAGGCCCCUGUCUCCUGCAGGAAUUGUGAAAACUAAUGGGAAUUCUUUUUUUUAUUCUCCUUCUCUGUCCUCUAGUGCUGAGCAAGCUACAUCAACCAAUAUGUCAUUUCCUUUAAGAAGUGCUUAAAUGCAAAGACACAAGCAUAUUUUAUACAAACAGCAAUGGAAAUGUGGAUUUGGAUGUGACAGAAGCUCUGGGGAUGUAAUUUGCUGACUUCUGAAAUUUUGGUACAUAAAAUUAGAACUGGGACCAUUACAACACCUGGACACCUAAGCAGUGUGAUCUGACCUUAUCUAAACAACCUGGAUCUUGAAAAGCAAAGCAGCAGUUCUACCUCCACUGUGGCUCUUGGUGUCUGUAACAGUGGACCUGCUAAGAGUGUAAGGUUUUGCUGUGCUGUGGACAACGCUUGAAAUUAAAUGUCAGGGAAUGUCCUCAAUCUGAUACUCAGUCAUCUUGGGAACUCUUCAUGCACAGUGCCAUGGUUAGCACCAAGUAUCACACCUCCAUUCUCUCCUGGUUUGGAAACACCAAGACAAACAUGAGGUCUUCGGGAAUAUUAGAAAAUGAGGGGGUCUCCAAAUCUUGGCAGCUGUAAAAUGAUGACUUCUUUGGGCCACAAAUUCCCCUUUGGAUUUCUUUGGGCUGGGGCAUUCUACUGAAAAGCCUCAAGAAUGACUUUAGGAUACCUCUAUAAAUAGGAGAAAGAGAUCUGGGCUCCCCACUGCAAGUGGACAUACUUCAGGGAACAAAUGGUACAUUGGAAAAUCCUCAAGGUCAUUUGAAAACUAACUUCUCUUGACUCCCAGUCCUGAAAACAUCUUGAAUUCCUGAGAUGAUCAAAAGCAACUUGUCAGAUGUCUUUGUUUCUUUAUUCUGGUUCCCAAAUCUGGCUCCUCCUGUACUGGCAGUGCCCAGCUCUGGGAGCUGAGGGUGUGUGCAGCACCUCCAAGGUUCUGAGCAGGCUGUGCCAGGAGCACUAUUGGAACACUGGUGCUCUCCUCCAAGCCCACUCUCUUUGAAACGUGCUGUGAAUGGGAAUCAGUGACGGUAGCUCCCAUCCCAGUGCCUUCUCUAUGCGACUGGCUUUGCUCCAGACAGGGAAUGAGAGGGAAAAUGCUGGAGAGGGAGAUCUUCCAGCGGACACAGUGACCUUGCAGUGAGACUGCCUGCUCCCUGGCUGCCUCUUGUUGGCAGCAGGGUUCCCAAACCCUUCUGUUUCUGGCAGUGCUCUCCUUGUGUGCUUGCCAGCACCCAUCCAGCACUGCAGGGAGGAUGGUUACCCUUCCCAGGAGCCUUUUCCAUCAUGCCCCAAAGCUGGAGCCUGGCUGCCCACACCGGGCAAUGCUCAGCACGUGUCACUGUGACACAUCUGAGGCAUCACUGCCCUGCUCAGGAGCCCAUGUGCACACAGAGCCAGCAGCAGACUUGUGAGGAGGCUGUGUCAAUCGUCCUGCAGGUGACUGUAAAACGACUGAUUCCUUCCUGUUAAAGGUACUUUAGCCUCAAAUACAACUCCAUGCAUAGUGCAUAUAAAUGUGUAUAUAUGCAUAUACACUAAAUGUGUAUAAGCCAAUGUUAAAGACACAAAGCUCAGCAAAAUGUUACAGUGAUGAAACAAACACUAGAGCAGCUACUACAGGUGAUAUAUUGCAUGAACUGAACUACCUUGGACAAGAGUCAAUGAUCAAUAGCUGAUUUAGAAAUGGCCCAAAAAUCUGCUGGUUUUUGGUUUUUUCCCCCCUGGAUAUAACAGGUAUUAAGUUGAAAAACAUUUUAAAAUCCUUUCACGAUUCACCUUCCAAAAAAAUUAAGCAACUUUAUUAAAGAAUCAGUUUCACUUUCUCCAAACCUUUAUUGCUAUAUAAAUGCAAAUUGGACCUAUGGGAAGGAAGGUAAUGAGGUUGGCUUAACCCCUUUUAUCACUCAACAACAGUAGUGAGGUGAUUCAGAGUUGGUAGCAGUUCCCUCUUCUCCUUCCCACCGUUGCCCCCAAGGAAAUGCCAUGCACUGCUUUUGCUUUGCCUGCUCUCAGACUCUGCAAGCCCAAGGCACUCACGUUAAAACGUUAGCUGGCAUCAUCUGUGAUUCAGGUGCUGCCUCUAUCAAGGACUGCCAAGUGUUUGUGGAGUUAGGAAUCACAAAACCAAAUUCAAAGAACCAUUCUGCAAAGAAAAAAAAAAAAAGAAAAGAGAAAAAGAGAUCCAGAGGCAUUGAAAGAAAAAAAUUCACAAAUGGUCCUUUUGCUUUUUACCUGCUAGCCCGGGGAACUCCCUAAACUGUCCCGCUGGGCUGCCAACAUUUUACAUUUAAAUUGCUUUGUACAGCUUAAACUGCACUGAGCCCUGCCCUCCUCUUAGAGCAGAUACUCCCUUUUUGAAAUAGCUGAUGGUACAGAUAAGGUCACACCACUUCCGUGGCAUUUGGUGAGAAUUUCAACACACCUAAUUGGGAACAGGGAAACCACCCUCCUCCCCUUGCAGACAUCUUGGGACCCAGCUGAGGUUAAGUGUGCAACUGGUUUCCCAAGAGACAGGGAGCUCAGUGUUUUGGCUGCCCCUUCUCCAGCCCAGAUGAAGAGCAGCACUGCAGUGAGGGGGGUCAGAGGUGCAGUUGUGGGGUCACUGGCACUGCUGUAACCCAGGUAAACCAGAGCUCCAGCCUGGCACUCUGAGGAAGACCCAGCAAUUCCAGUAAUAGCUGACUCUGAAAUAGCCUGUUUCCUUGCCUCAGGCAGCCUGUGGUGGAUUUAUGCCCUCAGGCAUGAUUACCCAGCUUUUUUGCUUACAUAACAAAGUGUUAAUACACUUAUGAAAUGCUAUCCUUAAUACUGUGGCCCAUUAGUCCUGACAAGACGAGUGCUUCAGUGCUACUCUGAAAAAUUAAAAUCACCACAUUCAACCCAUUUUAGUCGCUCUAAUCCCUGCCCUGCUGGGGGUCAGUCCCUGUGCUGCAGCACACAGAGCACAUCCAUACCUUCUAGACACUGCCCUUUGAAAUAAACUUUCUGUUCCAGACGGAAUUUUUCCAUUUGUUCUGCUGAGGAAAAGUUUAACUCCCGAGAUACUGCUUUGCAUUUCAGGAUUUUUUUAGGAACUCGAGCUGUGAAACAGAUAAAGAAACAUUAUUUGAACACAAUAAAAUCCAGCUUCUGCAGGUACUAUUAUUCUAUACUUGGAAAUAAUGAUUAGGACUAAUACAAGAACAUAGCAGCAGGAAAAAUACAAACACAAAGGACUUUGUUUUUACAUUUGCAAGAGUGAAAUCCAAGAUGCAAAUACCUUAAGUACCCUGCCCACAGCCAAGAAUGGUAUUUAUGACAGAACCAGGGAUACAAUACUGAUCUCUCAGAACCAGACUCCUGGUUCUUAGUUACUUGUUACUAAACACCAUAAUUUUUAAAGUUGAAAUAUAAGAUGCAACUUAAAUUUUUCCUUUAAGAAUUGUGCUGAAGAUGACUGGCAGCCAAAGGGCUGCUUAGCACACCAAGCUCCUUAGCCCUUCUCACUUUUCCCUCCCUUUCAGACUGUGCAUCCCAGAGCAAACCACCAACGUGUGUUUCUCAGCCCAGCAGCACUUCCUCAGCCAUCUCAGAGCUCUGGGAAGUGUCCUGUAGAAGUAAAAGCCUGUUCCCCUAACAGUGAGACCUGCCCAGGCUGUAAAGCCAGAACCUCACUGGAGAGAGCAAUUUGACAGUCCAGGUUUCUGGGCUCUUGCAGUGGGUGAGACACCAACAAACAGCAAGUGGCAAACUGUACCUGGUAGAGAUUUCACCAGAUGAUUUUUUUUUUUAGAGGCAGAGGAAUAAGAGAAGGGACAGUCUGGGAGCACUGAUUAAGAGUCCUAAUCAGGAGAAUAUGAGGAGGGACCAAACCAGUAAAAAUCUCCCAAGCCCAUCAUACUUCACUGGUGUGAUUGUGCAUAAUUCCUUCCUGCAUUAGGAAAAUGUUUCAUGUAAAUUUUUUAGAAAUUAAGAGGGGAGGGAAGACAGCUGGCAUGUGCUUUAUGAGCCAAACUGUUCCAAAAUGGAAGGCACAUCACAACAUCCAUGAGCAGGGAGCAGGCUGGUGUUUAAUAAAUGCAGGACUCUCCCAAACCCCAGGCAAAUCUCUCUAAUGUAGAACAAUUUUAUGGACUAGGACCUUGAUACAACACCAAUCUCACGAGCUGGAGGCUUAGGGAAUCUAAGCCAGCAUCCUACCCCAAGGAGAAGUAUACAGCCCACAGCUUGGUAAAAAAAAAAAAAUAAAAAGAAAAUUAGAAGUGUAAGGCAAGAGUUUUAAAUGUAAAAGGUCUCUAAUUAUUUUUAUGGGACUUUCUGCACCAUGGAAACCUGCAUGGCACCAUCCUCUACUGCCCUCACCAGUACAGACUACACCAUUGGGGAUAAACAUCCCUUUGCAGUUAAGUGUAAAAUGACUCGUUAAAACUAUUCUGCAAUUUAGUAAUUUCAUUUCUUUCAUCCCCAAGACAGAGUCCUGAGAGUGUUUGCUUUAACAAUGUAAAACUACCAAAUAAAUACUUUUAAUAAAAGUAGGACUGCAUUGUCUUUAAACAUCUAA
Long non-coding RNA from Passer domesticus (house sparrow), 7053 nucleotides. RefSeq lists it as uncharacterized. The record is from RefSeq and is a predicted model, not a curated record. NCBI's taxonomy places the organism in Eukaryota, Metazoa, Chordata, Aves, Passeriformes, Passeridae. The transcript has 2 exons.